RNAcentral lists this ribosomal RNA (253 nucleotides) under uncultured bacterium. Its description in RNAcentral is "partial 16S ribosomal RNA". It matches the Rfam family "Bacterial small subunit ribosomal RNA", at positions 524 to 776 of the family's 1533-position model. The record is from RNAcentral.
UACGUAGGGGGCAAGCGUUGUCCGGAAUUAUUGGGCGUAAAGAGCGCGUAGGCGGUCCGAUAAGUCGGCUGUGAAAGUCAAGGGCUCAACCCUUGAAAGCCGGCCGAUACUGUCGGACUAGAGUCCGGAAGAGGCAAGUGGAAUUCCCGGUGUAGCGGUGAAAUGCGCAGAUAUCGGGAGGAACACCAAUGGCGAAGGCAGCUCGCUGGGACGGUACUGACGCUGAGACGCGAAAGCGUGGGGAGCAAACAGG